This is a long non-coding RNA of Pteropus alecto (black flying fox), 697 nucleotides long. RefSeq lists it as uncharacterized. NCBI's taxonomy places the organism in Eukaryota, Metazoa, Chordata, Mammalia, Chiroptera, Pteropodidae. The record is from RefSeq and is a predicted model, not a curated record. The transcript is spliced from 3 exons.
GCUGUAGUUUGACAAAGCUCCAAGGGUGUUUCCAUCAUGACACGUCGCUCCUGUUCUGCCAGGAAAAUGGAGCCACAGAGAGGUUAAGUGUCUUUCUUAAGAUCACACAGCAAGGAUUUGAACGAAUGCUGUCUUCUGCUGAACUUGUUGCUUCGUCCACCAUUCCAUGUAGACUUUCCUGGGCCACUGGUGUUGCUGAUCAGAAGCCAGAGUUAUCUAUUCUGAGCUUUUACCAGCACCAGAUACCAAACCACAGAUCCAGAAAGCCCAGAAGAUAACAAGCAGGAUAAAUCCCCUCCACCAAAAAAAAACUAUACCUAAGCAUAUUACAUUCUACUGCAGAAAAUCAAGGACAAAGAGAAAAUCUUGAAAGAACAGAGAAGAAAACAACUUACCAACAGAAGAGUGAGAAUAAGAAUUAUAUCAAACUGUUCUUCAGAAACCAAACAAGAAAGAAGAGAGUGGAGUGAAAUAAAGUAUCAGGGAAAAAAAGGACCACCAACCUAGAAUUUUGUGUACCCAAAAUCAUCCUUCAAAAGUAAAGGCGAAAUAAAGACUUUCUCAGACAAACAAAAAUUGAGGAAUUUGUUGCCAGUAGACCUGCGUUGCAAGGAAUGUUAAAAGUUCUUCAGAGAGAAGGAAAAUGACAUAUGUCAGAAAACCAGACCUACAUAAAGAAGAGCACUACAGAAGGAAU